GCUUCAUGGAUCAUCGGAUUUUCGUCCUCCAGUAUAUUAUAAAUUAUGUUAAUGAGGUUUCCACCACACAUACCAUGUAUGGUAAGGGGGGUCUCUGAUCGCGGCGUCACGAGCCUGCCAGCCAAUCAACGCGCGCCGAAUUGAACUAGGGGACGAGUUCACUUCGACGGGGAAUAACAGGGGCGUUCGCUGAAGUUCAACUCACUCGGCCACGCCGUAACUCUCUCGUCCGCUUCGACGAAGGCGCUUUGCGGCAAUCCGUCAUCACCACAAACGCCGUCGUCUUCGGCCGAGGCGGGGCGGCCGAGCGAGCGGUUUGGUCCCGGUCUCGCUGCUCGUAUCAACCUCGCCCGGCACUUGGUAUCGCCCGACCCUUGAUAAACAACACGGUGAUCUGGAGCAAACACCCCCCCCACGCUCCCCUGUCAAUGGAGGAGUGCGAGGAGGGGAGGAGGUGGUGUAGCUGUGGUGUAAAAAAAAAUGUCCCUCACGCCUAAAACAUCAUCGCUCAUGAAUCGCGGCCACUUCAAUCGACGCGUCUAGUAAACGCCGCGAGAGCUUACCGCAGCGGAGCCGACUCGAACUCUUCGCCCGAAGGAGACUGCUGCCCGGAGAUGGCGUCAACGCUGGUGGAGCAGGGCAGCCUGGCGUUAGAGCUGCCCAGCUCGGCGCCUGCGGUGGCCGCAGAGGAAAAACAGGACGGCUUCCCUGCCGUAGUGGUGGAGGCCCUGCCCACGCUAGACGGGAGUCUGUGCUACGCCGCGUACAGCGGUGGCGGCGGCGGCGGAGGAGGUGGAGGAGGUGAAGGAGGUGGAGGA
Molecule: non-coding RNA, 818 nt
Organism: Petromyzon marinus (sea lamprey)
Lineage: Eukaryota; Metazoa; Chordata; Hyperoartia; Petromyzontiformes; Petromyzontidae
Source: RefSeq, a predicted model, not a curated record